This 406-nucleotide ribosomal RNA is filed under the name uncultured bacterium. Its description in RNAcentral is "partial 16S ribosomal RNA". It matches the Rfam family "Bacterial small subunit ribosomal RNA", at positions 28 to 526 of the family's 1533-position model. The record is from RNAcentral.
GAUGAACGCUAGCUACAGGCUUAACACAUGCAAGUCGAGGGACCGGCGCACGGGUGAGUAACACGUAUCCAAACUGCCCUUUACUCGGGGAUCGCCUUUCGAAAGAAAGAUUAAUACCCGAUGUAAAGGAUGGGGAUGCGUUCCAUUAGGUUGUUGGUGAGGUAACGGCUCACCAAGCCUUCGAUGGAUAGGGGUUCUGAGAGGAAGGGCCCCCACAUUGGAACGUAGACACGGUCCAAACUCCUACGGGAGGCAGCAGUGAGGAAUAUUGGUCGAUGGGCGUUAGCCGGAACCAGCCAAGUAGCGUGAAGGAUGAAGGCUUAUGGGUCGUAAACUUCUUUUAUAUAAGAAUAUGUAUUAUAUGAAUAAGGAUCGGCUAACUCCGUGCCAGCCGCCGCGGUAAUUC